Rosa chinensis is the source of this 881-nucleotide long non-coding RNA. RefSeq lists it as uncharacterized. The transcript is spliced from 3 exons. The record is from RefSeq and is a predicted model, not a curated record. NCBI's taxonomy places the organism in Eukaryota, Viridiplantae, Streptophyta, Magnoliopsida, Rosales, Rosaceae.
CCGAAAAUUGCUGCAACUUCUCUCUCGGCCGGAAAUCGGCCUUGAUUUUCAUUUCCCCAUAUCUUCCUCCUCCGGCCACCAAUUCUCACCAAAUUUCUUCCAUUGGCUUCGUAUGGUCCUUGCGCACCCGUCUGUGGUGACCUUGCACGGCGGCGGCAAGCUCGUUCCGAUUUGAGUUCGAUUUUAGUCAACGCCGUUUUUCUCCUAGCUCCGGCCACCAAAACUUCCGAUCCUUAGCUCCAUGAACUCGAAUCAACCUGCUGAUCAUCAUACUAGAAGGAUCGCACCUGGAGUGACCGGUUUCACGUUCGUCGGAGCUUGGCCGGUUUUCGAUCGAACACCAAAACCUUUCGAUAGUGAUAUCUCGAGCUGUACUGCAUCGUUUUGAUUGAUUCUUGAACCAGUGAGUUCGCCUUGAUGUUCUUAACAACUCUCCAGAAGGAAUCGAGGCCUGAAAUUGAAGUUUUUAUGUCGAAAUCGUGGCUCGCCGGUUUCUGCAUUUCUUCGCCGGUUUCUGGAAAUUUUCCGGCCACCUUCAAACUGUUCUAGGUGAUUGACGGUCUUCCUUGGUGGGCGGUUUGGUGUGUAUUGUGAAAUUGAAGACGCAGCGGGAUUAGAGCGGGUAAUCCUACAGGUCAGGAGAAUCGAGAAGGUGAUCAGGCUGCUUAGAGUAGUGAGAUUGGAGUUACAGCUUUAUUGUGAGGUUGUUAUGCUCAUUGAGCUUACAUUUAAAUUUGGUGAGAGUGUUUGUAAUAUUAAAUUCUUGAGGAUUUGGUUUAUGUAUUAGUGAGUGAGGCUAGAUGUGUUUAUAUCUGAGAAAAAAAUUCAGAACGUUUAUUUGAUUAAGUUGUUUAUUUCAUGUUUUGGAUUUGAAUUUAUUA